Molecule: long non-coding RNA, 193 nt
Organism: Cydia amplana
Lineage: Eukaryota; Metazoa; Arthropoda; Insecta; Lepidoptera; Tortricidae
Exons: 2
Source: RefSeq, a predicted model, not a curated record
GGGAUUUAUUUGUGUGAUGAGCAUAGAUCUUUGUUUCUGAGUUAUGGGUGUGUUCUAACUCUUGGGUGUUUUCUAUGUAUUUGUAUAUUAUAUAUAUCGUUGUCUAAGUACCCACAACACAAGCCUUCUUGAGCUUACUGUGGGACUUAGUCAAUCUGUGUAAGAAUGUCCUAUAAUAUUUAUUUAUUUAAUU